RNAcentral lists this ribosomal RNA (507 nucleotides) under Meyerozyma guilliermondii. RNAcentral describes it as "eukaryotic LSU rRNA". The stretch from base 100 to 253 matches the Rfam family "5.8S ribosomal RNA". Lineage: Eukaryota; Fungi; Ascomycota; Pichiomycetes; Serinales; Debaryomycetaceae. The record is from RNAcentral.
UCUUGCUUUGGUUUGGCCUAGAGAUAGGUUGGGCCAGAGGUUUAACAAAACACAAUUUAAUUAUUUUUACAGUUAGUCAAAUUUUGAAUUAAUCUUCAAAACUUUCAACAACGGAUCUCUUGGUUCUCGCAUCGAUGAAGAACGCAGCGAAAUGCGAUAAGUAAUAUGAAUUGCAGAUUUUCGUGAAUCAUCGAAUCUUUGAACGCACAUUGCGCCCUCUGGUAUUCCAGAGGGCAUGCCUGUUUGAGCGUCAUUUCUCUCUCAAACCCCCGGGUUUGGUAUUGAGUGAUACUCUUAGUCGGACUAGGCGUUUGCUUGAAAAGUAUUGGCAUGGGUAGUACUAGAUAGUGCUGUCGACCUCUCAAUGUAUUAGGUUUAUCCAACUCGUUGAAUGGUGUGGCGGGAUAUUUCUGGUAUUGUUGGCCCGGCCUUACAACAACCAAACAAGUUUGACCUCAAAUCAGGUAGGAAUACCCGCUGAACUUAAGCAUAUCAAUAAGCGGAGGA